Molecule: long non-coding RNA, 702 nt
Organism: Triticum dicoccoides
Lineage: Eukaryota; Viridiplantae; Streptophyta; Magnoliopsida; Poales; Poaceae
Exons: 3
Source: RefSeq, a predicted model, not a curated record
CGUUCCCCCUCGUGCCGCCCCUUCCCCCUUCCGGCGCGGGAGAUCCGGUUCCUAUGGCUGCCCGCGCUUCACGGCUAGCGAGGGUUGGCGCUUGUGGACUGCUUAGCUGGAACACCCCCCCGUCUCCUACUCAAAACAUCAUUCAUUCAAAGGAGCGUUGGCUGAUGAGGAAGCCAUGUUUGUUUAGAAAUCCUACUUAGUCUAUUCAGGGUGGCGAUGACAGAUCCAAUCUUCUGUGGAAUGGUCUAGCUUUUGCAGUAGCAUCAAUAUCAGCAUUGCUCUUGUCACAGGAGCGAGUCAGCGCUGCUGAUGAACCACCCAGAGAGAUCACUGCAGAGGAUAUUGCUGCUUGGAUCAGGGAACUGCCUGAUGAUGAAGAGGACCAGUUCAUCAAAAGACAGCAAUUUGAUGCAUGGGUGAAGCAGUGCAACAAGGAAUACUCCAGUGAGUCUGCAAAAGAGUAUAGGUACCAUCUAUUCAAAGGAAGAUCGUCCUAUCUAGAGCUCUGCAGUAAAGUCAAAGAUGAGGCCUUUAGAAGACAAAUGACAAUGGCGGCAGAUCUUACUGAGGACUAGUUUAUUUUUAUGACCCGUCUUCCGCCUGACAGCGUUGAUUGGCGAGCGCUAGGUGCAGUAACCAGUGUAAGAGACCAGUUAGCCUGUGGAUCUUGCUGGGCCAUUGCACCUGUUGAAGCAACUGAAG